AGUUAACGGGUUGGCAAGCUGCCACAAACUACUUUAAUGGCGGCAAAGGUUUGGCUGGGGAAGCAGAGUCUCUAGGGCAGCAAGGACCUCAGCUGCUGGGGAAAGGCUGUCAGCUACUCAUGUUAUUUCAUCGCUUCUGUAACCUCCCUUCCUGCCACCGGCCUGGGCUGCACUGACUGGGGGAUGGCCCUCACCACAGCACCUACUUCAGCAGCUUCAGCUGCUUCUGGUGACAAAAGUUUUGAGUGCAGCUCGGCCCUCAAAGGGUCUUUCCGAUGGCCGUUCCCGGCGAGACAUCCUCUUUGUAUAAAACCUGGGGCAUUCAGAAUCAGGACAAUGUUACACAGAAGAAAAGAAAGCCCAGUAAUUCCUGGAGGAAGACUAGGAAACAUGGCUUCUGUGAAAACAAAAGACACUAGAGAAUGUUCUUAGCCGUGUGCCAGAGAAUCUGACAUCUUCCACGUCAGCAUCAGAACUCCUGCCAUAUUUACAACAUGGACAACUUCCCAGAUCUUGAGAUUUCUUUUAAAAUUAUUGUACUGUAUCAAUACAGGAUGAGAAAAACUGGGAAAAUGCUGAUUUAAAAAGACCCCUCUCAUAGGAAACAAAAUCCAUUAAAGAAAUGUAAAGUCAUUUUGUUCAGGGGAAGGAUAAUAGGAGAAAUCACAAUGUCAAGAAGAAAUCCAUCUUCAUGGAGCAAGACAACACAUGUUAUUGCUGUGGGAUUAAAAAAAUUAAAAAGAAAAAAAGUUACUCAGUUAGCAGAUUUAAGGUGUUAUUUCAAAUGGUUUCUGGAGUGAUGUUUUUAGAGCAAAGUAUGGGAAAUUUUAUCAAAUAACCUCUAGUAUUAACUGGGGAGGUUAGAUGUUAAUUGUCUGAAUCAACAUGAGGCUAGCAUAUUUUUAAGGAGGAGAAUGCAAGUAUUAGGUUAGCAUUAAAUGGAAAAUAAAUAGUAAAUAUAC
Long non-coding RNA from Mustela erminea (ermine), 962 nucleotides. RefSeq lists it as uncharacterized. Lineage: Eukaryota; Metazoa; Chordata; Mammalia; Carnivora; Mustelidae. The record is from RefSeq and is a predicted model, not a curated record. The transcript is spliced from 3 exons.